Molecule: ribosomal RNA, 670 nt
Filed under: Acanthais brevidentata
Lineage: Eukaryota; Metazoa; Mollusca; Gastropoda; Neogastropoda; Muricidae
Description: partial 16S ribosomal RNA
Rfam family: Bacterial large subunit ribosomal RNA (bases 1-509)
Source: RNAcentral
GACCGUGCAAAGGUAGCAUAAUCAUUUGCCUUAUAAUUGAAGGCUAGUAUGAAUGGUUUGACGAGAAUUAAGCUGUCUCUUUUCAAUUAAAUAUAAUUUUAUUAAUAGGUGAAGAAGCCUAUAUUUUAUUGAAAGACAAGAAGACCCUAUCGAGCUUUAAGAAAUUUGGUAGACUCACCAUAUAUUUAUAAAAAAGUGAGACUAUCAAAAACUUUGGUUGGGGCGACUGAGGAACAAAUAAAGCUUCCUUUUGAUUUUUAAACCUACAAGUAUUGAUCCAAUAGAUUUGAUUAAAGGAAUUAGUUACCGUAGGGAUAACAGCAUAAUCUUCUUUGAGAGUUCUUAUCGAAAAGGGGGUUUGUGACCUCGAUGUUGGACCAGAAUACCCAGAAGAUGCAGCCGUCUUCAAUGGUUGGUCUGUUCGACCAUUAAAAUUCUACGUGAUCUGAGUUCAGACCGGCGUGAGCCAGGUCAGUUUCUAUCUUCAAUUUUUAUAAUGGCUUUAGUACGAAAGGACCAAGCUAUUACAAGGCGUUAUGUAGAAAGUUGAUUUAAUAUAAAGAAUACUUAAAUAAAUAAAGAUCAAAUUAGCAAAGAUUAAUGCAAUUGACUUAGGAUCAAUAGACAUAGGUGAAAUCCCUUUAUUUGAUAUAUAAAGAUGGCAGAAAAA